GCGUGGUUGGCCCAGUGGAAAAGGCGCUGCGGGGUAAGCCAAGGAGUUGCCUUGAGUAACAUGUUGGCCGGGCCCCCAGAGAACCCUGGUUCGAAUCCAGGACCGCGUA
This 109-nucleotide transfer RNA is filed under the name Penicillium salamii. RNAcentral describes it as "tRNA-Tyr". It matches the Rfam family "tRNA". Rfam says of the family: Transfer RNA (tRNA) molecules are approximately 80 nucleotides in length. Their secondary structure includes four short double-helical elements and three loops (D, anti-codon, and T loops). Lineage: Eukaryota; Fungi; Ascomycota; Eurotiomycetes; Eurotiales; Aspergillaceae. The record is from RNAcentral.